This 466-nucleotide ribosomal RNA is filed under the name uncultured bacterium. Its description in RNAcentral is "partial 16S ribosomal RNA". It matches the Rfam family "Bacterial small subunit ribosomal RNA", at positions 28 to 507 of the family's 1533-position model. The record is from RNAcentral.
GAUGGACGCUGGCGGCGUGCUUAACACAUGCAAGUCGAACGGAAAGGCUCUUGCUUGCUGGGGUACUCGAGUGGCGAACGGGUGAGUAACACGUGGGUGAUCUGCCCUGCACUUCGGGAUAAGCUCGGGAAACUGGGUCUAAUACCGGAUAGGACCACGGGUUGGAUGCCAUGGUGGGAAGUUUUUUCGGGGUGGGAUGAGCUCGCGGCGUAUCAGCUUGUUGGUGGGGUAAUGGCGUACCAAGGCGUCGACGGGUAGCCGGCCUGAGAGGGUGUACGGCCACAUUGGGACUGAGAUACGGCCCAGACUCCUACGGGAGGCAGCAGUGGGGAAUAUUGCACAAUGGGCGGAAGCCUGAUGCAGCGACGCCGCGUGGGGGAUGACGGCCUUCGGGUUGUAAACUGCUUUCGCUUGGGACGAAGCGCAAGUGACGGUACCUGGAGAAGAAGCACCGGCUAACUACGUG